CGUACACUCCUGCGGGAGGCAGCAGUGGGGAAUAUUGCACAAUGGGCGCAAGCCUGAUGCAGCCAUGCCGCGUGUAUGAAGAAGGCCUUCGGGUUGUAAAGUACUUUCAGCGGGGAGGAAGGCGAUAAGGUUAAUAACCUUGUUGAUUGACGUUACCCGCAGAAGAAGCACCGGCUAACUCCGUGCCAGCAGCCGCGGUAAUACGGAGGGUGCAAGCGUUAAUCGGAAUUACUGGGCGUAAAGCGCACGCAGGCGGUCUGUCAAGUCGGAUGUGAAAUCCCCGGGCUCAACCUGGGAACUGCAUUCGAAACUGGCAGGCUAGAGUCUUGUAGAGGGGGGUAGAAUUCCAGGUGUAGCGGUGAAAUGCGUAGAGAUCUGGAGGAAUACCGGUGGCGAAGGCGGCCCCCUGGACAAAGACUGACGCUCAGGUGCGAAAGCGUGGGGAGCAAACAGGAUUAGAAACCCUUGUAGUCCCA
RNAcentral lists this ribosomal RNA (476 nucleotides) under uncultured organism. Its description in RNAcentral is "partial 16S ribosomal RNA". It matches the Rfam family "Bacterial small subunit ribosomal RNA", at positions 330 to 797 of the family's 1533-position model. The record is from RNAcentral.